UGGGGAAUAUUGGACAAUGGGCGCAAGCCUGAUCCAGCCAUGCCGCGUGAGUGAUGAAGGCCUUAGGGUUGUAAAGCUCUUUUGUCCGGGAAGAUAAUGACCGUACCGGAAGAAUAAGCUCCGGCUAACUUCGUGCCAGCAGCCGCGGUAAUACGAAGGGAGCUAGCGUUGUUCGGAAUUACUGGGCGUAAAGCGCAUGCAGGCGGAUCGUUAAGUCGAGGGUGAAAUCCCAGGGCUCAACCCUGGAACUGCCUUCGAUACUGGCGGCCUUGAGUCCGGGGGAGGUGAGGGGAACUCCGAGUGUAGAGGGGAAAUUCGUAGAUAUUCGUAAGAACACCAGUGGCGAAGGCGGCUCACUGGCCCGGUACUGACGCUGAGAUGCGAAAGCGUGGGGAGCAA
RNAcentral lists this ribosomal RNA (399 nucleotides) under uncultured bacterium. RNAcentral describes it as "bacterial SSU rRNA". It matches the Rfam family "Bacterial small subunit ribosomal RNA", at positions 355 to 771 of the family's 1533-position model. The record is from RNAcentral.